Molecule: microRNA precursor, 62 nt
Organism: Bison bison bison
Lineage: Eukaryota; Metazoa; Chordata; Mammalia; Artiodactyla; Bovidae
Source: Ensembl
GGUGCCUGCAGGCUUCAUGAUGGGUAUCUUCCAAGGGCCUUUCUAGAAUCUGCAGGUAGUCC